Molecule: transfer RNA, 73 nt
Filed under: Mycobacteroides abscessus subsp. abscessus
Lineage: Bacteria; Bacillati; Actinomycetota; Actinomycetes; Mycobacteriales; Mycobacteriaceae
Description: tRNA-Lys(ttt)
Rfam family: tRNA
About the family: Transfer RNA (tRNA) molecules are approximately 80 nucleotides in length.
Source: RNAcentral
UGGGCGUUGGUGAAACGGAAUCACCCUAGACUUUUAAUCUAUGAGUUGAGGGUUCAAAUCCCUUGCGCCCUAC